CCUACGGGAGGCUGCAGUGGGGAAUAUUGGGCAAUGGGCGCAAGCCUGACCCAGCAACGCCGCGUGAAGGAAGAAGGCUUUCGGGUUGUAAACUUCUUUUAAGAGGGAAGAGCAGAAGACGGUACCUCUUGAAUAAGCCACGGCUAACUACGUGCCAGCAGCCGCGGUAAUACGUAGGUGGCAAGCGUUGUCCGGAUUUACUGGGUGUAAAGGGCGUGCAGCCGGGAAGACAAGUCAGAUGUGAAAUCCCGCGGCUCAACCGCGGAACUGCAUUUGAAACUGUUUUUCUUGAGUACCGGAGAGGUCAUCGGAAUUCCUUGUGUAGCGGUGAAAUGCGUAGAUAUAAGGAAGAACACCAGUGGCGAAGGCAGCUCACUGGACUGCAACUGACACUGAGGCUCGAAAGUGUGGGUAUCAAACAGGAUUAGAUACCCUAGUAGUC
Molecule: ribosomal RNA, 442 nt
Filed under: uncultured bacterium
Lineage: Bacteria
Description: partial 16S ribosomal RNA
Rfam family: Bacterial small subunit ribosomal RNA
Source: RNAcentral